Molecule: ribosomal RNA, 117 nt
Organism: Sinocyclocheilus anshuiensis
Lineage: Eukaryota; Metazoa; Chordata; Actinopteri; Cypriniformes; Cyprinidae
Source: Ensembl
UGCCACAGCCAUAUCACCCUGCGGCCCAAGACUGGUUGCCCACUGAAGCUAAGCAGGGUUGAGCCUGGUCAGUACCUGGAUGGGAGACCUCUUAGGAAAUCUAGAUUGCUGUUGGAA